This 279-nucleotide long non-coding RNA is filed under the name Pan troglodytes (chimpanzee). RNAcentral describes it as "long non-coding RNA NONPTRT002227". The record is from RNAcentral. Lineage: Eukaryota; Metazoa; Chordata; Mammalia; Primates; Hominidae.
CCACAUUGCUGAUGAAACCAAAGAGGAUAUAUGUACUGCCCAACACUGCAUUUCCCAUCAGAAAUUUGCAAUGACAUUGUUUGAGCAGUGUGUAUGUACUAGCUGUGGUGCCACUUCUGAUCCGCUGCCUUUCAUCCAGAUGGUACAUUAUAUCUCCACCACUUCCCUUUGCAAUCAGGCUAUUUGUAUGCUGGAAAGACGAGAGAAACCUUCACCAAGCAUGUUUGGUGAGCUGCUGCAGAAUGCCAGCACCAUGGGGGAUCUGCGGAACUGUCCAGU